AUGACCAAGAGUCGUCGCGGCAAGCUCUACAUCGACGAUGCAGGCUGGGGCCCCGACGCCGGCUCAAUUGAGUACGGGUACCGGGUUCCCUUCGGCGGAAUUCACGUCUUCAUCGGCAAGAUCGGUGAGCUGGGCCUUGAGCCGGACAUCUGCACCGACCUCGUCGAAAUGGUUCAGCGUGCGAGACCCGCCCGGGCUUCGCCUGCUGUGAAGCAUGCCUUCGUGGGAUGCAUCCACGGAGGGCUCUCUGAAGGAUCUGCAUCUGACGGUGAGACGGCCAUCUACUCUGAUGGCGGGUCAUCCACAGGUGAGACAGAUUCAUUGUAUCAACUUCAAGAUGGCGGGCUUGGGGGCUGUUCCGAUGGCAGCAGUAUUCCGGAUUGCCUCGAGCCGUCGAGCAGAGUCGGAAUCUUCAUGGCCGGCACACAACCUAUCCAAGACUCCACAACUGCGGCAGCCAUGACCUCCGGGUCAGCGGCAGCCGAGGCAGGAGGCCGUGUGCGCUCGCCGGCUCAGGUGUUGAUGGAUCUCAUCGAAAAGCUGACCACUCUGUUAACCGAUGUGGUCAACCCGACGGAUCAGGCUCGACAUGAUGCGGACGUGGCACAAUUAAAGUUGGAUAUGGUGCAGGCUAAGGAAGACCUAGCAGCGGAAGAUGUCAGGAUAACCGCAGAACAGGCGGCUCUAGAUGUUCAGGCUCAGCGGAUUGAGGCACAGACUUUCCGGCUCACGCAAGAUCAGAAUGCGUCUAAUGAGGUCAUGAGGAGAAGACAUCAGAAGACUCAGUCUCAACUCCCUCCGGUUUAUGAUCCUCGAAACCUCUUUCAUACACCUGGUGCAGGGCCUAGUAACACGUCGUGGCUCUCCCCGCGUACUGAGGCAGACUGGGUUGCAACACCCGGGGUCGGGGCGCCGGUUCAGCCGCAGAUGAUGGGGCCUCCCCGCAUGAACACGGCUCCACCUCAGUAUGUACCAACACCUCCGGGUCACUAUUCUAACCCAUUGGAGAACAUGAUAGCGGCGGCGGCACGGCUGGCGGCUUUCCCAGUUGAUGGCGACUCUCUGGCGACGGUUGAAACCCGCCGGGUCAGAAAACUUCUUUAG
Molecule: ribosomal RNA, 1104 nt
Filed under: Triticum aestivum (bread wheat)
Lineage: Eukaryota; Viridiplantae; Streptophyta; Magnoliopsida; Poales; Poaceae
Description: partial small subunit ribosomal RNA
Source: RNAcentral